GGAGCUGUGCCUGAGAGCCCAAGGCCACUUUGAUAGAGUGACCAACAGGGGUUAAAAUCCCCUCAGCUCCU
RNAcentral lists this transfer RNA (71 nucleotides) under Osteobrama feae. RNAcentral describes it as "tRNA-Ile". It matches the Rfam family "tRNA". From Rfam's summary of the family: Transfer RNA (tRNA) molecules are approximately 80 nucleotides in length. Lineage: Eukaryota; Metazoa; Chordata; Actinopteri; Cypriniformes; Cyprinidae. The record is from RNAcentral.